UAGCUCAGUUGGUAGAGCAUGGCGCUUGCAAUGCCAGGGUUGUGGAUGAGAUUCCCAU
This 58-nucleotide transfer RNA is filed under the name Salmo salar (Atlantic salmon). It matches the Rfam family "tRNA", at positions 8 to 63 of the family's 71-position model. Rfam says of the family: Transfer RNA (tRNA) molecules are approximately 80 nucleotides in length. Their secondary structure includes four short double-helical elements and three loops (D, anti-codon, and T loops). The record is from Rfam by way of RNAcentral. Lineage: Eukaryota; Metazoa; Chordata; Actinopteri; Salmoniformes; Salmonidae.